RNAcentral lists this ribosomal RNA (424 nucleotides) under uncultured prokaryote. Its description in RNAcentral is "bacterial SSU rRNA". It matches the Rfam family "Bacterial small subunit ribosomal RNA", at positions 355 to 796 of the family's 1533-position model. The record is from RNAcentral.
UGGGGAAUCUUGGACAAUGGGGGCAACCCUGAUCCAGCGACGCCGCGUGGGUGACGAAGGCCUUAGGGUUGUAAAGCCCUUUUCUCGGGGAAGAUGAUGACGGUACCCGAGGAAUAAGCACCGGCUAACUCCGUGCCAGCAGCCGCGGUAAUACAGAGGGGGCAAGCGUUGUCCGGACUUACUGGGCGUAAAGCGCACGCAGGUGGUAACGCAAGUGGGGUGUGAAAGCCGCCAGCUCAACUGGCGGAGGCCAUCCCAAACUGCGUCACUUGAGGCCUGUAGAGGUAUGUGGAAUUGCCGGUGUAGUGGUGAAAUGCGCAGAGAUCGGCAGGAACACCCAGGGGGAAGCCAGCAUACUGGACAGGUCCUGACACUCAGGUGCGACAGCGUGGGGAGCGAACCGGAUUAGAUACCCCCGUAGUCC